GGAGUUUGGACCGUGUCUCAGUUCCAAUGUGGGGGACCUUCCUCUCAGAACCCCUACUGAUCGUUGGCCAGGUGGGCCGUUACCCCGCCUGCUGCCUAAUCAGACGCAUCCCCAUCCCUUAGCGAUGAAUCUUUGCUUCACGUUAGAUGCCCGCUGUGAAGAACAUAGGGUAUUAAUCCGACUUUCGCCGGGCUAUGCCCUACUAAGGGGAAGGUUGGAUACGCGUUACUCACCCGUGCGCCGGUCGUCAUCUGACUGAGCAAGCUCAGCCAAUGUUACCCCUCGACUUGCAUGUGUUAAGCCUGUAGCUAGCGUUCAUC
RNAcentral lists this ribosomal RNA (320 nucleotides) under uncultured Prevotella sp. RNAcentral's name for it is "partial 16S ribosomal RNA". The record is from RNAcentral. Lineage: Bacteria; Pseudomonadati; Bacteroidota; Bacteroidia; Bacteroidales; Prevotellaceae.